UUUCGAUCAUCGUUCACAAUGGGGGCAACCCUGAUGGCGCGACGCCGCGUGGGGGAUGAAGGUCUUCGGAUUGUAAACUCCUGUCAUUGGGGACUAAUGGCCAGGCUCAUACCCUGGUUUGAAUUAACCCAAAGAGGAAGCAGUGGCUAACUCUGUGCCAGCAGCCGCGGUAAUACAGAGACUGCAAGCGUUACUCGGAUUCACUGGGCGUAAAGGGAGCGCAGGCGGACUGGUGUGUCAGGCGUGAAAUCUCGGGGCUCAACCCCGAGGCUGCGCCCGAAACUACUAGUCUAGAGACUUGGAGGGGUAAGCGGAAUUCUUGGUGGAGCAGUGAAAUGCGUAGAUAUCAAGAGGAACACCAACGGCGAAGGCAGCUUACUGGACAAGAUCUGACGCUCAGGCUCGAAAGCGUGGGGAGCAAAAGGGAUUAGAUACCC
RNAcentral lists this ribosomal RNA (437 nucleotides) under Verrucomicrobia bacterium SCGC AAA027-K20. Its description in RNAcentral is "bacterial SSU rRNA". It matches the Rfam family "Bacterial small subunit ribosomal RNA", at positions 353 to 787 of the family's 1533-position model. The record is from RNAcentral. Lineage: Bacteria; Pseudomonadati; Verrucomicrobiota.